Molecule: ribosomal RNA, 378 nt
Filed under: Theopompella chopardi
Lineage: Eukaryota; Metazoa; Arthropoda; Insecta; Mantodea; Liturgusidae
Description: partial 12S ribosomal RNA
Source: RNAcentral
AUUAGAUACCCUAUUAUUUUUAUUGUAAAAUUUAAAGUUGGAGUACUAUUAGUUAUGAUCUUUAAACUUAAAGAAUUUGGCGGUAUUAUAGUCUGUUUAGAGGAAUCUGUUAAGUGAUCGAUAGUCCACGUUGAACCUUACUUAUAUUAUUUCUUGUAUAUCGCUGUUUGGGAUUAUAUUUUUAGAUAAUUUUCUAAAUAUAUAAAUAGUUAAAAUUUCAAGUCAAGGUGCAGUUAUAUAUAAGUUGAGUAAUGGAUUACAAUAAAAUUUAUUUAUAUGGAUUAAUUAUUGAAAUAUUAAUAUGAAGGUGGAUUUAAUUGUAAUUUUAAAUAUAUUAUUAAAAUGAUUUAUAGCUCUAUAAUAUGUACACAUCGCCCG